UGGGGAAUAUUGCACAAUGGGCGCAAGCCUGAUGCAGCCAUGCCGCGUGUGUGAAGAAGGCCUUCGGGUUGUAAAGCACUUUCAGCGGGGAGGAAGGCGUUAAGGUUAAUAACCUUGGCGACUGACGUUACCCGCAGAAGAAGCACCGGCUAACUCCGUGCCAGCAGCCGCGGUAAUACGGAGGGUGCAAGCGUUAAUCGGAAUUACUGGGCGUAAAGCGCACGCAGGCGGUCUGUCAAGUCGGAUGUGAAAUCCCCGGGCUCAACCUGGGAACUGCAUUCGAAACUGGCAGGCUAGAGUCUUGUAGAGGGGGGUAGAAUUCCAGGUGUAGCGGUGAAAUGCGUAGAGAUCUGGAGGAAUACCGGUGGCGAAGGCGGCCCCCUGGACGAAGACUGACGCUCAGGUGCGAAAGCGUGGGGAGCAAACAGG
Molecule: ribosomal RNA, 429 nt
Filed under: Chloroflexota bacterium
Lineage: Bacteria; Bacillati; Chloroflexota
Description: Chloroflexi bacterium partial 16S ribosomal RNA
Rfam family: Bacterial small subunit ribosomal RNA
Source: RNAcentral